GCUUGUCUCAAAGAUUAAGCCAUGCAUGUCUAAGUAUAAAUAAUUCUAUACUGUGAAACUGCGAAUGGCUCAUUAUAUCAGUUAUAGUUUAUUUGAUAGUCCCUUACUACUUGGAUAACCGUAGUAACUCUAGAGCUAAUACAUGCGCAAAUUCCCGACUGCUUUACGGCGGAAAGGAUGUAUUUAUUAGAUUAACCAACCCUCCGGGUUCUGGUGACUCAUAAUAACUGAGCGAACCGCAUGCUCACGCGGCGGUAGUUCGACCAAGUUUCUGCCCUAUCAGCUUUCGAUGGUAGGGUAUUGGCCUACCAUGGCGUUCACGGGUAACGGAGAAUUAGGGUUCGAUUCCGGAGAGGGAGCCUGAGAGAUGGCUACCACAUCCAAGGAAGGCAGCAGG
This 397-nucleotide ribosomal RNA is filed under the name uncultured Bicosoecida. RNAcentral describes it as "partial small subunit ribosomal RNA". It matches the Rfam family "Eukaryotic small subunit ribosomal RNA", at positions 30 to 432 of the family's 1831-position model. Lineage: Eukaryota; Bigyra; Bicosoecida. The record is from RNAcentral.